GUGGGGAAUUUUGGACAAUGGGCGCAAGCCUGAUCCAGCCAUUCCGCGUGCAGGAUGAAGGCCUUCGGGUUGUAAACUGCUUUUGUACGGAACGAAAAGCCUCUGGUUAAUACCCGGGGGUCAUGACGGUACCGUAAGAAUAAGCACCGGCUAACUACGUGCCAGCAGCCGCGGUAAUACGUAGGGUGCGAGCGUUAAUCGGAAUUACUGGGCGUAAAGCGUGCGCAGGCGGUGAUGUAAGACAGUUGUGAAAUCCCCGGGCUCAACCUGGGAACUGCAUCUGUGACUGCAUUGCUGGAGUGCGGCAGAGGGGGAUGGAAUUCCGCGUGUAGCAGUGAAAUGCGUAGAUAUGCGGAGGAACACCGAUGGCGAAGGCAAUCCCCUGGGCCUGCACUGACGCUCAUGCACGAAAGCGUGGGGAGCAAACAGGAUUAGAAACCCUGGUAGUCC
RNAcentral lists this ribosomal RNA (450 nucleotides) under uncultured bacterium. RNAcentral's name for it is "bacterial SSU rRNA". It matches the Rfam family "Bacterial small subunit ribosomal RNA", at positions 354 to 796 of the family's 1533-position model. The record is from RNAcentral.